This 481-nucleotide ribosomal RNA is filed under the name uncultured bacterium. RNAcentral describes it as "partial 16S ribosomal RNA". It matches the Rfam family "Bacterial small subunit ribosomal RNA", at positions 28 to 507 of the family's 1533-position model. The record is from RNAcentral.
GAUGAACGCUGGCGGCGUGCUUAACACAUGCAAGUCGAACGAAGCAUUUAAGACAGAUUACUUCGGUUUGAAGUCUUUUAUGACUGAGUGGCGGACGGGUGAGUAACGCGUGGGUAACCUGCCUCAUACAGGGGGAUAGCAGCUGGAAACGGCUGGUAAUACCGCAUAAGCGCACAGUACCACAUGGUACAGUGUGAAAAACUCCGGUGGUAUGAGAUGGACCCGCGUCUGAUUAGCUUGUUGGCGGGGUAACGGCCCACCAAGGCGACGAUCAGUAGCCGACCUGAGAGGGUGACCGGCCACAUUGGGACUGAGACACGGCCCAGACUCCUACGGGAGGCAGCAGUGGGGAAUAUUGCACAAUGGAGGAAACUCUGAUGCAGCGACGCCGCGUGAGUGAAGAAGUAGUUCGCUAUGUAAAGCUCUAUCAGCAGGGAGGAUAGUGACGGUACCUGACGAAGAAGCUCCGGCUAAAUACGUG